CCAGGGCGCAGCUACACAUGCAGUCGAGCGGUAGCACAGAGAGCUUGCUCUCGGGUGACGAGCGGCGGACGGGUGAGUAAUGUCUGGGAAACUGCCUGAUGGAGGGGGAUAACUACUGGAAACGGUAGCUAAUACCGCAUAACGUCGCAAGACCAAAGUGGGGGACCUUCGGGCCUCAUGCCAUCAGAUGUGCCCAGAUGGGAUUAGCUAGUAGGUGGGGUAACGGCUCACCUAGGCGACGAUCCCUAGCUGGUCUGAGAGGAUGACCAGCCACACUGGAACUGAGACACGGUCCAGACUCCUACGGGAGGCAGCAGUGGGGAAUAUUGCACAAUGGGCGCAAGCCUGAUGCAGCCAUGCCGCGUGUGUGAAGAAGGCCUUCGGGUUGUAAAGCACUUUCAGCGGGGAGGAAGGCGUUAAGGUUAAUAACCUUGUCGAUUGACGUUACCCGCAGAAGAAGCACCGGCUAACUCCGUGCCAGCAGCCGCGGUAAUACGGAGGGUGCAAGCGUUAAUCGGAAUUACUGGGCGUAAAGCGCACGCAGGCGGUCUGUCAAGUCGGAUGUGAAAUCCCCGGGCUCAACCUGGGAACUGCAUUCGAAACUGGCAGGCUAGAGUCUUGUAGAGGGGGGUAGAAUUCCAGGUGUAGCGGUGAAAUGCGUAGAGAUCUGGAGGAAUACCGGUGGCGAAGGCGGCCCCCUGGACAAAGACUGACGCUCAGGUGCGAAAGCGUGGGGAGCAAACAGGAUUAGAUACCCUGGUAGUCCACGCCGUAAACGAUGUCGAUUUGGAGGUUGUGCCCUUGAGGCGUGGCUUCCGGAGCUAACGCGUUAAAUCGACCGCCUGGGGAGUACGGCCGCAAGGUUAAAACUCAAAUGAAUUGACGGGGGCCCGCACAAGCGGUGGAGCAUGUGGUUUAAUUCGAUGCAACGCGAAGAACCUUACCUGGUCUUGACAUCCACAGAACUUUCCAGAGAUGGAUUGGUGCCUUCGGGAACUGUGAGACAGGUGCUGCAUGGCUGUCGUCAGCUCGUGUUGUGAAAUGUUGGGUUAAGUCCCGCAACGAGCGCAACCCUUAUCCUUUGUUGCCAGCGGUCCGGCCGGGAACUCAAAGGAGACUGCCAGUGAUAAACUGGAGGAAGGUGGGGAUGACGUCAAGUCAUCAUGGCCCUUACGACCAGGGCUACACACGUGCUACAAUGGCAUAUACAAAGAGAAGCGACCUCGCGAGAGCAAGCGGACCUCAUAAAGUAUGUCGUAGUCCGGAUUGGAGUCUGCAACUCGACUCCAUGAAGUCGGAAUCGCUAGUAAUCGUAGAUCAGAAUGCUACGGUGAAUACGUUCCCGGGCCUUGUACACACCGCCCGUCACACCAUGGGAGUGGGUUGCAAAAGAAGUAGGUAGCUUAACCUUCGGGAGGGCGCUUACCACUUUGAUUCCGGG
Molecule: ribosomal RNA, 1441 nt
Filed under: Klebsiella pneumoniae
Lineage: Bacteria; Pseudomonadati; Pseudomonadota; Gammaproteobacteria; Enterobacterales; Enterobacteriaceae
Description: bacterial SSU rRNA
Rfam family: Bacterial small subunit ribosomal RNA
Source: RNAcentral